This 506-nucleotide ribosomal RNA is filed under the name uncultured bacterium. Its description in RNAcentral is "partial 16S ribosomal RNA". It matches the Rfam family "Bacterial small subunit ribosomal RNA", at positions 29 to 523 of the family's 1533-position model. The record is from RNAcentral.
AGUGAACGCUGGCGGUAGGCCUAACACAUGCAAGUCGAACGGCAGCACAGGAGAGCUUGCUCUCUGGGUGGCGAGUGGCGGACGGGUGAGGAAUACAUCGGAAUCUACUUUUUCGUGGGGGAUAACGUAGGGAAACUUACGCUAAUACCGCAUACGACCUACGGGUGAAAGCAGGGGAUCUUCGGACCUUGCGCGAUUGAAUGAGCCGAUGUCGGAUUAGCUAGUUGGCGGGGUAAAGGCCCAGCAAGGCGACGAUCCGUAGCUGGGACGAGAGGAUGAUCAGCCACACUGGAACUGAGACACGGGCCAGACUCCUACGGGAGGCAGCAGUGGGGAAUAUUGGACAAUGGGCGCAAGCCUGAUCCAGCCAUACCGCGUGGGUGAAGAAGGCCUUCGGGUUGUAAAGCCCUUUUGUUGGGAACGAAAUCCAGCUGGUUAAUACCCGGUUGGGAUGACGGUACCCAAAGAAUAAGCACCGGCUAACUUCGUGCCAGCAGCCGCCGUAA